This is a long non-coding RNA of Lemur catta (Ring-tailed lemur), 715 nucleotides long. RefSeq lists it as uncharacterized. Lineage: Eukaryota; Metazoa; Chordata; Mammalia; Primates; Lemuridae. The transcript has 3 exons. The record is from RefSeq and is a predicted model, not a curated record.
GGACUUCAACAUGUGAAUUUUGAGGCAGGGGUUUGGGGGGACCCAAUUCAGCCCAUAACAGGAGGCCCCAGCAGCUAGGACUGCAGCUGCCGAGGAGAGUGGAUGCCACCUGCCCUCCCGUGCCCGUGUGCACCCUGACCCGGCUGCCUGUCGGCAGAAGGUUCUUGCGGAGAGAGGGGACAAAGCUACGUGGAGACACAGAGAGACACAGAGGAAAAGGCUGUGCAAUGACAGGAGUGACACUGCCACAAGCCAAGGACCACCAAGGGUUUCCAGAAGCCACCAGAAGCCAGGAGAGAGACAUGGAACCAACCCUGCCAACGCCCAGAUUUUGGACUCUGCCCUCCAGAGCUGUGAGAGAAUAAAUUUCCACCGUUCUAAGCCUCCCACUUCCCGGCCAUUCCCUGCAGCAGCCUAGGGGUGAGCACAGUGUCCAAGUCGCUCCACACCCACACGCCCCAGUCAUAGUCAUCCCAUCGAGUUCCUUCCUCGUCCGUCAUCUGGAAGUAUCCAGAUGGCCUCUUUGUUUACAGUCUGUUUCCCCCACUCGAAUGUAAGUUCCUUGACUGUGCCCUGUGCCCCUCCCCAUGUCCCCAGCCCCGGGACAGCACCUGACCUAUCGUGGGCCCCUAUGCGUAACUGAUGAGUGAAUGAGCCGGGUCCCAUGGUCCUUCCCCACUGCUCCUCAGCUGAGCUCCCGCAGGACCUGGCAGAG